RNAcentral lists this ribosomal RNA (440 nucleotides) under uncultured bacterium. RNAcentral's name for it is "partial 16S ribosomal RNA". It matches the Rfam family "Bacterial small subunit ribosomal RNA", at positions 338 to 795 of the family's 1533-position model. The record is from RNAcentral.
CCUACGGGAGGCAGCAGUAGGGAAUAUUGCUCAAUGGGGGAAACCCUGACGCAGCAACGCCGCGUGGAGGAUGAAGGUUUUCGGAUCGUAAACCCCUUUCGUUAGAGAAGAUAAUGACGGUAUCUAACGAAUAAGCACUGGCUAACUCCGUGCCAGCAGCCGCGGUAAUACGGAGGGUGCAAGCGUUACUCGGAAGCACUGGGCGUAAAGAGCGCGUAGGCGGGAUAGCAAGUCAGAUGUGAAAUCCUAUGGCUUAACCAUAGAACUGCAUUUGAAACUGUUAUUCUAGAGUAUGGGAGAGGUAGGUGGAAUUCUUGGUGUAGGGGUAAAAUCCGUAGAGAUCAAGAGGAAUACUCAUUGCGAAGGCGACCUGCUAGAACAUAACUGACGCUGAGGCGCGAAAGCGUGGGGAGCAAACAGGAUUAGAUACCCGUGUAGUC